AACGAACGCUGGCGGCAGGCUUAACACAUGCAAGUCGAACGCCCCGCAAGGGGAGUGGCAGACGGGUGAGUAACGCGUGGGAACGUACCCUUUACUACGGAAUAACUCAGGGAAACUUGUGCUAAUACCGUAUGUGCCCUUCGGGGGAAAGAUUUAUCGGUAAAGGAUCGGCCCGCGUUGGAUUAGCUAGUUGGUGGGGUAAAGGCCUACCAAGGCGACGAUCCAUAGCUGGUCUGAGAGGAUGAUCAGCCACACUGGGACUGAGACACGGCCCAG
Molecule: ribosomal RNA, 276 nt
Filed under: uncultured bacterium
Lineage: Bacteria
Description: partial 16S ribosomal RNA
Rfam family: Bacterial small subunit ribosomal RNA
Source: RNAcentral